This 229-nucleotide long non-coding RNA is filed under the name Carica papaya (papaya). RNAcentral describes it as "long non-coding RNA (CPAP_LNC013633)". Lineage: Eukaryota; Viridiplantae; Streptophyta; Magnoliopsida; Brassicales; Caricaceae. The record is from RNAcentral.
UUCAGAAGUCUUCAGAAGUCUUAUUGAGCCAAGGAACGGAGAUCAACUUAUCAGUAAGUCCAUGGCAUUUUUUUUUUCUUUGUUUAUUUUCCCUAGUCUUUGCUUUUACUUUCUUUUUUGGAUUGUAGAUUCAAUUAGAGGGAGGAGUUUAUCUAAGAAGUUAUAGUUUUGGUAUUGCAUACGUUGAGUGGGUUAUAGGAGUUGAUUUGAUCCUUCCCAUACCCUACCG